UAGGAUGCAAGUUUUUUUUCU
Molecule: non-coding RNA, 21 nt
Filed under: Caenorhabditis elegans
Lineage: Eukaryota; Metazoa; Nematoda; Chromadorea; Rhabditida; Rhabditidae
Source: RNAcentral